Molecule: ribosomal RNA, 253 nt
Filed under: uncultured bacterium
Lineage: Bacteria
Description: partial 16S ribosomal RNA
Rfam family: Bacterial small subunit ribosomal RNA
Source: RNAcentral
UACAGAGGUGCCAAGCGUUGUUCGGAUUUAUUGGGCGUAAAGGGUGCGUAGGCGGUUGUGUAAGUCGGAUGUGAAAUCCCGGAGCCUAACUCCGGAAUGGCAUUCGAAACUACACAGCUCGAGGUCUGGAGAGGAGACUGGAAUUCUCGGUGUAGCAGUGAAAUGCGUAGAUAUCGAGAGGAACACCAGAGGCGAAAGCGAGUCACUGGACAGAACCUGACGCUGAUGCACGAAAGCCAGGGGAGCAAACGGG